UGUCCCAGUUCGGACUGGAGUCUGCAACCCGACUCCACGAAGUUGGAUUCGCUAGUAAUCGCGCAUCAGCCAUGGCGCGGUGAAUACGUUCCCGGGCCUUGUACACACCCGCCCGUCAAGCCAUGGGAGCCGGGGGCGCCUGAAGUCCGGGACCGCGAGGACCGGCCUAGGGCGAAACUGGUAACUGGGGCUAAGUCGUAACAAGGUACC
This 210-nucleotide ribosomal RNA is filed under the name uncultured bacterium. RNAcentral's name for it is "partial 16S ribosomal RNA". It matches the Rfam family "Bacterial small subunit ribosomal RNA", at positions 1284 to 1500 of the family's 1533-position model. The record is from RNAcentral.